Molecule: ribosomal RNA, 435 nt
Filed under: uncultured bacterium
Lineage: Bacteria
Description: partial 16S ribosomal RNA
Rfam family: Bacterial small subunit ribosomal RNA
Source: RNAcentral
AGCGAACGCUGGCGGCAUGCUUAACACAUGCAAGUCGCACGGAUCUUUCGGGAUCAGUGGCGGACGGGUGAGUAACGCGUAGGGAUCUAUCCAUGGGUGGGGGACAACUUCGGGAGACUGGAGCUAUUACCGCAUGAUACCUGAGGGUCAAAGGCGCAAGUCGCCUGUGGAGGAACCUGCGUACGAUUAGCUAGUUGGUGGGGUAAAGGCCUACCUAGGCGAUGAUCGAUAGCUGGUUUGAGAGGAUGAUCAGCCGCACUUGGACUGAGACACGGCCCAGGGUCCUACGGGUGGCAGCAGUGGGGAAUAUUGGACGAUGGGCGAAAGCCUAAUCCAGCAAUGCCGCGUGUGUGAAGAAGGUCUUCGGAUUGUAAAGCACUUUCGACGGGGACGAUGAUGACGGUACCCGUAGAAGAAGCCCCGGCUAACUUCGUG